GAUGAACGCUAGCGGCAGGCCUAAUACAUGCAAGUCGAACGGGAUCUGAGGGUAGCUUGCUACCCGAUUUGAGAGUGGCGCACGGGUGCGUAACGCGUGAGCAACCUACCCAUAUCAGGGGGAUAGCCCGGAGAAAUUCGGAUUAACACCGCAUAAGAAUGUAUUAACACAUGUUAAAGCAUUUAAAUAUUUAUAGGAUAUGGAUGGGCUCGCGUGACAUUAGCUAGUUGGUGAGGUAACGGCUCACCAAGGCGACGAUGUCUAGGGGCUCUGAGAGGAGAAUCCCCCACACUGGUACUGAGACACGGACCAGACUCCUACGGGAGGCAGCAGUAAGGAAUAUUGGUCAAUGGGCGAAAGCCUGAACCAGCCAUGCCGCGUGCAGGAUGACUGCCCUAUGGGUUGUAAACUGCUUUUGUCGAGGAAUAGACCUAUCUACGUGUAGCUAGUUGAACGUACUCGAAGAAUAAGGAUCGGCUAACUCCGUGCCAGCAGCCGCUGUAA
This 504-nucleotide ribosomal RNA is filed under the name uncultured bacterium. Its description in RNAcentral is "partial 16S ribosomal RNA". It matches the Rfam family "Bacterial small subunit ribosomal RNA", at positions 28 to 523 of the family's 1533-position model. The record is from RNAcentral.